UUAGAUGUAAAUUGAUUUAUGUUUGGAAACACUUUAAUAGAAGUGAUUCUUAGGAGUUGAUGUUGUUUGGAUAG
RNAcentral lists this microRNA precursor (74 nucleotides) under Medicago truncatula (barrel medic). RNAcentral's name for it is "MIR5272 microRNA precursor family". It matches the Rfam family "MIR5272 microRNA precursor family". The record is from Rfam by way of RNAcentral. Lineage: Eukaryota; Viridiplantae; Streptophyta; Magnoliopsida; Fabales; Fabaceae.